ACGUUGAUAUAUACACGUUUGGAUAGAGUCGCUGACUUCGAAUCAGUUGGUCGGGGGUUCGAGUCCCUCAGGGCGCGCCA
Molecule: transfer RNA, 80 nt
Filed under: Sporanaerobacter acetigenes DSM 13106
Lineage: Bacteria; Bacillati; Bacillota; Tissierellia; Tissierellales; Sporanaerobacteraceae
Description: tRNA_Pseudo_TCG
Source: RNAcentral